This 468-nucleotide ribosomal RNA is filed under the name uncultured bacterium. Its description in RNAcentral is "partial 16S ribosomal RNA". It matches the Rfam family "Bacterial small subunit ribosomal RNA", at positions 28 to 507 of the family's 1533-position model. The record is from RNAcentral.
GACGAACGCUGGCGGCGUGCUUAACACAUGCAAGUCGAACGGAAAGGCCCUGCUUUUGUGGGGUGCUCGAGUGGCGAACGGGUGAGUAACACGUGAGUAACAUGCCCUUGACUGUGGGGUAACUUCAGGAAACUGGGGCUAAUACCGGAUAGGAGCUCCUGCUGCAUGGUGGGGGUUGGAAAGUUUCGGCGGUUUGGGAUGGACUGGCGGGUUAUCAGCUUGUUGGUGGGGUAGUGGCUUACCAAGGCUUUGACGGGUAGCCGGCCUGGGAGGGGAGACGGGCACAAUGGGACUGAGAUACGGCGCAGACGCCUACGGGACGCAGCAGGCGGGAGCAUUGCACAACGGGCGCGAGCCUGAGGCAGCAACGCCGCGUGCGUGAUGACGGCCUUCGGGGUGUAAACCGCUGUCGCAUUUGACGAAGAGUGAGUGACGGUAACGGGUAAAGAAGCAACGGCUAACUACGUG